Molecule: long non-coding RNA, 1626 nt
Organism: Ctenopharyngodon idella (grass carp)
Lineage: Eukaryota; Metazoa; Chordata; Actinopteri; Cypriniformes; Xenocyprididae
Exons: 2
Source: RefSeq, a predicted model, not a curated record
UUUAAUUACAGAGGAGGAGAUGACAUCACGUCUAUAGAUCUUGUGUGUACAAGAAGUAAAAAAAAAACAAAAAAACUGUCAAUUACAAACAAACAGUCUUUCUUUAGUUUUCAGGUUCAAAAGCCAUUGCAUUAAGUGAAGAAAUUAAAUUGUGUUAUUGUAAAAUUAAUACAUUAAUAUUUUCCUCACUUAAAAUAUUCUAUAUAUAUAUAUAUAUAUAUAUAUAUAUAUACCGUGUAUAUAUACAGUGUAUAUAAAUAUAUAUAUUUUUAUAUAUAAAGUCAUGUGAAAAAGAAAGUACACCCAUUUAUUUUUACAUAUCAGGACAUAAUAAAAAAAAUCAUCUGGUCUUUAGCAGGUCUUGAAAUUAACCUCAGAUGAACAACAACACAUGACAUAUUACACAGUGUUAUGUAUUUAACAAAAAUAAAGCCAAAAUGAAGAAGCCAUGUGUGACAAACUAUGAUUUAAUUGCUUGUAGAACCACCUUGAAGUAAUCAUUUUCUGUAUGACUUUAUCAGUCUCUCACAUCAUUGUGGAGGAAUUUUGGCCUGCUCUUCUUUACAGCGUUGGUUCAGUUCAUUGAGCCAUUCAGUUGUUCUCUUUGCUGGUGUGCUUGGGAUCAUUCAUUGUCCUGCAUGACCCAAUUUCGGCUGAGCUUUAGCUGUCAGACAGAUGACCUCACAUUUGACUCUAGAAUACUUUGCUAUACAGAGGAGUCCAUGGUCGAACUUGCAUGACUGCAAGGUACCCAGGUCCUGUGGCUGCAAAACAAGCCAAAAAUUAUCAACCCUCCACCACCGUGCUUGACGGUUAGUAUGAGUUGUGUGUGCUGAUAUGCUGUGUUUGUGGAUUAUGGCCAAACAUCUCCUCUUUGGUCUUGUCUGUCUGUAGGACAUAGUUCCAGAAGUCUUGUGGUUUAUUCAGAUGCAACUUUGCAAACCUAAGCCGAGCUGCCGUGUUCUUUUUAGAGAGAAGAAAUGUUCUCCUGGCAACCCUUCCAAACAUGCCAUACUUGUUCAGUGUUUUUCUAAUUGUACUGUCAUUAACUUUAACAUUUAACAUGCUAACUAAGGCCUGUAGAGUAUGAGGUGUAGUUCUUGGGUAUUUAGCAGUUUCUCUGAGCAGUGCACGGUUUGACCUUGGGGUGAAUUUGCUGGGACGUCCACUCCUGGGAAGAUUGGCAACUGUCUAUUGAAUGCUUUCCACUUGUGAAUAAUCUUUCUCACUGUAGAAUGAUGGACUUUAAAUUGUUUGGAAAUGGCCGUUACGUAUAACCCUUCCUAGAUUGAUAGGCAGCAACAAUUGCUUCUCUAAGAUCAUUGCUGAUGUACUGUUUUUAUAGAGUUGGUCACACUUGCAGAUGAUCAAUUAAUGAAAGGCAUUUGAUCAGCAGUGCCUGACUGCUACUUACCCUCUUAAUUCUUAUGGAAGCAGUAAGGGUGUACUUAGUUUGUAACACAUGGCUUCUCUAUUUUGCCCUAGUUUUUGUUAAAUAGAACCAUGACACUGUGUAAUAUGUCAUGUGUUGUUCAUCUGAUGUUGUAUUUAUCUAAUUUUAAGACCUGCCAAGGACCAGAUGAUUUUUGUAUUAUGUCCUGAUACGUAAAACCAUAGUAUUCAAAA